AGUAACAGAGAGUUUGAUCAUGGCUCAGAUUGAACGCUGGCGGGAUGCUUUACACAUGCAAGUCGAACGGCAGCACGGACUUCGGUCUGGUGGCGAGUGGCGAACGGGUGAGUAAUGUAUCGGAACGUACUAGUAGCGGGGGAUAACUACGCGAAAGCGUAGCUAAUACCGCAUACACGCCCUUCGGGGAAAGCGGGGGACCUUCGGGCCUCGCACUAUUAAAACGGCCAUUUGAUAUCGGAUUGGCUAGUUGGUGGGGUAACGGCUCACCAGGCGACGAUCCGUAGCUGGUUUGAAGGGCCGACCAGCCACACUGGGACUGAGACACGGCCCAGACUCCUGGGAGGCAGCAGUGGGGAAUUUUGGACAAUGGGGGAAACCCUGAUCCAGCCAUCCCGCGUGUGCGAUGAAGGCCUUCGGGUUGUAAAGCACUUUUGGCAUAGGGAAAGAAACAGCUGGGAUAAUACCCGUGCAACUGACGGUACCUGCCAGUCACGCCUGCCGGCUAACCACGUGCCAGCAGCCGCGGUAAUACGUAGGGUGCAAGCGUUAAUCGGAAUUACUGAAUAAAGCGUGCGCAGGCGGUUCGAAGAAGAUGUGAAAUCCCAGAACCGCUUUGGAACUGCAUUUUUAACUACCGAGCUAGAGUGUGUCAGAGGGAGGUGGAAUUCCGCGUGUAGCAGUGAAAUGCGUAGGCGUAUGCGGAAGACACCGAUGGCGAAGGCAGCCUCCUGGGAUAACACUGACGCUCAUGCACGAAAGCGUGGGGAGCAAACAGAGUUAGAUACCCUGGUGAAUCCCGCCUAAAAGCGAUGUCAACUAGCUGUUGUUGGGGCCUUCGGGCCUUGGUAACAACUACUGCAUGAAGGUUAGUACCACAGGAAGUACACAGUCGCAAAGAUUAAAAACUCAAAGGAAUUGACGGGGACCCACUGGCAGUGGAUGAUGUGGAUUAAUUCGAUGCAACGCGAAAAACCUUACCUACCCUUGACAUGUCUGGAAUCCCGAAGAGAUUUGGGAGUGCUCGCAAGAGAACCGGAACACAGGUGCUGCAUGGCUGUCGUCAGCUCGUGUCGUGAGAUGUUGGGUUAAGUCCCGCAACGAGCGCAACCCUUGUCAUUAGUUGCUACGAAAAGGGCACUCUAAUGGGGCCUGUCGGUGACAAACCGGAGGAAGGUGGGGAUGACGUCAAGUCCUCAUGGCCCUUAUGGGUAGGGCUUCACACGUCAUACAAUGGUCGGGACAGAGGGUCGCCAACCCGCGAGGAGGAGCCAAUCCCAGAAACUUGAUCGUAGUCGGAUCGCAGUCUGCAGCUCGACUGCGUGAAGUCGGAAUCGCUAGUAAUCGCCGGAUCAGCAUGUCGCGGUGAAUGCGUUCCCGGGUCUUGUACACACCGCCCACGUCACACCAUGGGAGUGGGUUUUACCAGAAGUAGUUAGCCUAGCUAACCAUCGGAGGGCGAUUACCACGGUAGGAUUCAUGACUGGGAGAUUGAAGUCGUAACAAGAGU
This 1510-nucleotide ribosomal RNA is filed under the name uncultured Bordetella sp. Its description in RNAcentral is "partial 16S-23S ribosomal RNA intergenic spacer". It matches the Rfam family "Bacterial small subunit ribosomal RNA". The record is from RNAcentral. Lineage: Bacteria; Pseudomonadati; Pseudomonadota; Betaproteobacteria; Burkholderiales; Alcaligenaceae.